Molecule: unclassified non-coding RNA, 416 nt
Filed under: uncultured Inocybe
Lineage: Eukaryota; Fungi; Basidiomycota; Agaricomycetes; Agaricales; Cortinariaceae
Description: sequence contains ITS2
Rfam family: 5.8S ribosomal RNA (bases 1-154)
Source: RNAcentral
AACUUGUUGCAAUGGAUCUCUUGGCUCUCGCAUCGAUGAAGAACGCAGCGAAAUGCGAUAAGUAAUGUGAAUUGCAGAAUGCAGUGAAUCAUCGAAUCUUUGAACGCAUCUUGCGCUCCUUGGUAUGCCGAGGAGCAUGCCUGUUUGAGUGUCAUUUCUAGUUCUCGACUGCGUCGAUUUCUUAUUGAUGUGGCUUGGAUGUGGGGGAUUUAGCAGGCUUUCUGUCAAAGGAGGUCGGCUCCCCUGAAUAAUAUUAGUGGUAUCUGAGCUACUCCAGGUGUGAUAAUUAUCUAUGACUUCAGUAUGCUAUUGCACUGCUUCCAACGAGUGAGAACGUCUCUCUCACAUUUGACGAAUUUGACCUCAAAUCAGGUAGGACUACCCGCUGAACUUAAGCAUAUCAAUAAGCGGAGGCU